Molecule: long non-coding RNA, 742 nt
Filed under: Sorghum bicolor (sorghum)
Lineage: Eukaryota; Viridiplantae; Streptophyta; Magnoliopsida; Poales; Poaceae
Description: long non-coding RNA (SBIC_LNC012227)
Source: RNAcentral
UGCAGCUAUCAACAGUGAUUCAUUCUUAUGCAUAUCGGCAAUGGAUAACCUAAUGCAUUGGUCUAGCUUUCUCUCGCCCCACUGGACUUCAUUGGAGUUGCUGACCCUCAAGAACGAAUCCUUCCACCCCACGGUAGGGCUGGGCCAGGAACAAAAAGUAUCCUUCUACAGAUCCAAAGAAAAAUUCUCUGCUCUAAAAGGGAUCGUGUUGGUUUCUGCGUUUAUGAGGUUGGUUGGAUCUGGAUCCCCUAGCGGGCCAAGGCAUCGGACGUGUGGUUGAUCGGUGGGGAUGACAAUUUUGUUAGCCAAUUCCUAGUGGUUUUGGAGAUGGAAAAGAAAAACACAAAGAAAAAAAAGAAAAUGUUCAGUAAGAUGGAUUGCGGAUGAACAGGGGUGCGAGGAAAAGUACAACAAAUGGCGCGAAGGACUGACCUCAGGAACGAUGAAGUUGAUGGCCAUUUUACCACGGAGAAGAUGUUUGAGAGCUUCGGAGGUGAUGAAGAGGGGACUUCGUCGAAGAUCUUGGAGCUUUUGGACAGCGCCGCCGCCGGGAAAGUGAAGUUGGAGUUGUGGAAUGAUGUGAUGGAGAAGCAGUACCCGAGAAGGAACUAUUUAUAGGACAAAACGGGCAAGGGCAAAUCUGACAUAUCUCUUUGCCGCAUCCGUGAAAUCCGAGGAUGCUCAGGUAGAUAUGGUAACUGUUCGCACGGUAAUCAAGGGAUUGUGCAGGUGAUUUGACAGG